CGUGAGGAACCUGCCUUGGAGAGGGGAAUAACACUCCGAAAGGAGUGCUAAUACCGCAUGAUGCAGUUGGGUCGCAUGGCUCUGACUGCCAAAGAUUUAUCGCUCUGAGAUGGCCUCGUGUCUGAUUAGCUAGUAGGCGGGGUAACGGCCCACCUAGGCGACGAUCAGUAGCCGGACUGAGAGGUUGACCGGCCACAUUGGGACUGAGACACGGCCCAG
This 219-nucleotide ribosomal RNA is filed under the name uncultured bacterium. RNAcentral describes it as "partial 16S ribosomal RNA". It matches the Rfam family "Bacterial small subunit ribosomal RNA", at positions 116 to 334 of the family's 1533-position model. The record is from RNAcentral.